UACAGGGGGGGCAAGCGUUGUUCGGAAUUACUGGGCGUAAAGGGUUCGUAGGUGGCCAACUAAGCCAGACGUGAAAUCCCUCAGCUUAACUGGGGAACUGCGUCUGGGACUGGAUGGCUUGAGCGCAGGAGAGGAACGCGGAAUUCCAGGUGUAGCGGUGAAAUGCGUAGAUAUCUGGAGGAACACCGGUGGCGAAGGCGGCGUUCUGGACUGCAACUGACACUGAGGAACGGAAGCCAGGGGAGCAAACGGG
This 253-nucleotide ribosomal RNA is filed under the name uncultured bacterium. RNAcentral's name for it is "partial 16S ribosomal RNA". It matches the Rfam family "Bacterial small subunit ribosomal RNA", at positions 524 to 776 of the family's 1533-position model. The record is from RNAcentral.